Molecule: ribosomal RNA, 691 nt
Filed under: uncultured bacterium
Lineage: Bacteria
Description: bacterial SSU rRNA
Rfam family: Bacterial small subunit ribosomal RNA
Source: RNAcentral
AGAGUUUGAUCAUGGCUCAGAACGAACGCUGGCGGCAGGCUUAACACAUGCAAGUCGAGCGCCCCGCAAGGGGAGCGGCAGACGGGUGAGUAACGCGUGGGAACGUACCUUUUGCUACGGAAUAACUCAGGGAAACUUGUGCUAAUACCGUAUGUGCCCUUCGGGGGAAAGAUUUAUCGGCAAAGGAUCGGCCCGCGUUGGAUUAGCUAGUUGGUGAGGUAAAGGCUCACCAAGGCGACGAUCCAUAGCUGGUCUGAGAGGAUGAUCAGCCACACUGGGACUGAGACACGGCCCAGACUCCUACGGGAGGCAGCAGUGGGGAAUAUUGGACAAUGGGCGCAAGCCUGAUCCAGCCAUGGCCGCGUGAGUGAUGAAGGCCCUAGGGUUGUAAAGCUCUUUCACCGGUGAAGAUAAUGACGGUAACCGGAGAAGAAGCCCCGGCUAACUUCGUGCCAGCAGCCGCGGUAAUACGAAGGGGGCUAGCGUUGUUCGGAUUUACUGGGCGUAAAGCGCACGUAGGCGGACUUUUAAGUCAGGGGUGAAAUCCCGGGGCUCAACCCCGGAACUGCCUUUGAUACUGGAAGUCUUGAGUAUGGUAGAGGUGAGUGGAAUUCCGAGUGUAGAGGUGAAAUUCGUAGAUAUUCGGAGGAACACCAGUGGCGAAGGCGGCUCACUGGACCAUUACUGACGC